AAGUAUAUCUUGUUCGCUGCGAUCGUCACUACAUCAGUCCUUAGGUUGUUCACCAUAUCGAGCCCUGUUUGGCUUAGAUAUGCUCACUCAUGGGACGGAUUAUAAGCUUCUGAAGGAUUUAGACUUGCUGGAAGAACCCGUUGUCCCGGUAGCUAGGUCAGACAAUUUAGCUCUAAUUCGAAAAGAUAUACAGGGCAAUAUUAAGAAAGCGUAUGAGCGCAACGUUGCUCAAUACAAUUUACGAGCCAAGCCUGUGUCGUUCCGAGAAGGUCAGGAAGUAUUUCACCGAAAUUUUUCCUUGAGCAAAUUCACGCAAAAUUUUAAUGCCAAAUUGGCUCCUAAAUUUCUGAAAUGUCGCGUGCGGAAAAAACUGGGUAAUUGUUUCUACCUCCUGGAAAAUCUGCAGGGCCGAGAAAUAGGAACCUUUCAUGCGAAAGACAUUCGAUCCUGAUUCCCGCUAAUAUUCCGUCUAACGGUGGCAUAUUAUCGGGUGGUGUAACGGUUGCGGUUGGACAAUACCGAUGCAAAAUAGGUUAUCGCUAUGGUGCUCGGAUAUCGCAUGCAAUAACCUUGGGCCAAUUAUCGCUGCAGGGCAUAGUAUAGUUGGGGUGGGUGCAAGCAAGCUCGAGGUAGGGAACAGCUGAGCUGAGCUGCCGUAAGUGCUGUGCAGCGCAUCGCAACUGAGCUUUCAAAGCCGAGCUUUAAGAUCGGUAAGCUCUUAUUUAAGCAGUGCAAAAGCACCAGAACGUUCUCUUUCGAAAAUUUGAAUCUGUGCAGCCGGUGGCUAUCUCCGCGUCGGUAGCAAAUAUAUAACUAAAUCGACCACUUGUAAGCCCAAAAGAAAAGAAAAGUAACCCAAAUAAGUGCCACAAAGACAAACCGAAAAGAAAUAAAACGGAACGGGGAAAAUCCCACACGGUGGGCGCGCCGCAAAAAUCGGUCGAAAAUUAAUAAUCGUGCGCCGAGAAAACUGGCAAGAAACUACCCUGGCGAAAAGUGCAUAUUUGCCUCGCCUCGCCAGCAAGUGUUGUUCUUGUUGCAAACCCGUGCGUCCCGCAGCUCUGCCAGGAGAACCCAACGCUCGUGUCUCCGUGGAAAAGUCCGAAAAACUGGGCCCUGGCCCCGAGCGGUAGCCACCCGGCUCUCCCCAAAGUUCUGCCCCACCCACACCAAACUCCCACCCUUGACGGGAGUACUCUUCGGAGUCGACCUUGGUGUGGGGCGGAGAUUUUUUGUCCCUUUUGGAGUCGUUGAAGCAUCCACCUGCCCGGCGACAUAACCUCCACCGGCCAUCACCCUGGCGCCAUAUCUAACGUACGCGCAUAGAGGGCAUAGAGGGCAUAGAGAUCACCCCCCCCUAUGCGCCGCUAACUCGCUGUCUGCGACGGCCUAGAAGACGCCGCCACGGAUCCGGACCCAGAUUUCGUAGCAUAGUGUAGUUUUAAUUGUAAUUUUUUUUGGUUCCUUCUGAGCACUUAUAUGACUAUGUAACUUUCCUUAACUCUGCGUCACAGUCCUACCUCGAUAGGCGGGAAUGUGAAAGUUCUCAAAGCGGAAUUUAUUUUUUCGGGUUGGGGACCGAAAAACUUAAUCAUAAAGUAACAGACUACAAAAAACAAAAAAAAA
Molecule: long non-coding RNA, 1626 nt
Organism: Drosophila miranda
Lineage: Eukaryota; Metazoa; Arthropoda; Insecta; Diptera; Drosophilidae
Exons: 2
Source: RefSeq, a predicted model, not a curated record